UAAGGGCACUGGCAGACGACCAGGUAGAUAGGCCGGAGGCGGAAGUCCAGCAAUGGAUGGAGCUGACCGGUACUAAUCGGCCGA
Molecule: non-coding RNA, 84 nt
Filed under: Pseudoramibacter alactolyticus ATCC 23263
Lineage: Bacteria; Bacillati; Bacillota; Clostridia; Eubacteriales; Eubacteriaceae
Description: Bacterial large subunit ribosomal RNA
Rfam family: Bacterial large subunit ribosomal RNA
Source: Rfam by way of RNAcentral